GGAGGCAUCGCAUAGUGGCCAAUUGCACAGGUUUGCUAAACCUGACCCUUCGGGGUUCCUGGGUUCAAAUCCCAGUGCCUCCG
RNAcentral lists this transfer RNA (83 nucleotides) under candidate division TM6 bacterium GW2011_GWF2_28_16. RNAcentral describes it as "tRNA-Ser". It matches the Rfam family "tRNA". From Rfam's summary of the family: Transfer RNA (tRNA) molecules are approximately 80 nucleotides in length. Their secondary structure includes four short double-helical elements and three loops (D, anti-codon, and T loops). The record is from RNAcentral. RNAcentral also lists the same sequence under 2 other names.